UGGGGAAUAUUGGACAAUGGGGGCAACCCUGAUCCAGCCAUGCCGCGUGUGUGAAGAAGGCCUUUUGGUUGUAAAGCACUUUAAGCAGUGAAGAAGACUCCAUGGUUAAUACCCAUGGACGAUGACAUUAGCUGCAGAAUAAGCACCGGCUAACUCUGUGCCAGCAGCCGCGGUAAUACAGAGGGUGCAAGCGUUAAUCGGAAUUACUGGGCGUAAAGCGAGCGUAGGUGGCUUGAUAAGUCAGAUGUGAAAGCCCCGGGCUUAACCUGGGAACGGCAUCUGAUACUGUUAGGCUAGAGUAGGUGAGAGGAAGGUAGAAUUCCAGGUGUAGCGGUGAAAUGCGUAGAGAUCUGGAGGAAUACCGAUGGCGAAGGCAGCCUUCUGGCAUCAUACUGACACUGAGGUGCGAAAGCGUGGGGAGCAAACA
This 427-nucleotide ribosomal RNA is filed under the name uncultured bacterium. Its description in RNAcentral is "partial 16S ribosomal RNA". It matches the Rfam family "Bacterial small subunit ribosomal RNA", at positions 355 to 774 of the family's 1533-position model. The record is from RNAcentral.